GUAUCUGCUCAAGUCUGAAUCUGAAGUUACUUGCAUACAGGAAGCAGGAGCAGUUGAACUCCAGUGACCCUUCUGAUUGGUUAAAGGGAAGUGACCUGAAAAUGUGAAUGGUGCUUGCCCAUGCAAAACCAGUGCCCUUCUAUCAAGGGGAACCUACAAGGUUAGCGACUGUCCCAUAGACAUUCUUUGGGCGGUAAAUUGGCAAGGAGACGAGAAAAAAAAAAUGCAUCCAGCGGAAGAGAGUGCGGGAAAAGUCAGCGACCCUCCCUUCCCCCUCAUUCCAUUUUCCUCUCCAGUCUAUUCACGGUGCACUUGAAAAUGACAAUCACUGACCUUCAUUUAAACUCUCUUUUGCAUGUGAUUAUAUAUCUGAACAUUUGUACUGUUGUCAGGUUCCCUGUGGAAGUAAUAAGAACUAAAUUGCAUCAUUACACCUGUUUAAAAACCCUGCAUUGUAAGUUCUAUUGUAAGCUGGCCUUUCUUUACAUGCAAGGAAGACA
This is a long non-coding RNA of Myxocyprinus asiaticus (Chinese sucker), 500 nucleotides long. RefSeq lists it as uncharacterized. Lineage: Eukaryota; Metazoa; Chordata; Actinopteri; Cypriniformes; Catostomidae. The record is from RefSeq and is a predicted model, not a curated record. The transcript has 3 exons.